GGACCCGCACAAGUAGUGGAGCAUGUGGUUUAAUUCGAAGAUACGCGCAGAACCUUACCAACACUUGACAUGUUCGUACGCGACUCUAAGAGAUUAGAGUUUUCGGUUCGGCCGGACGAAACACAGGUGCUGCAUGGCUGUCGUCAGUUCGUGUCGUGAGAUGUUGGGUUAAGUCCCGCAACGAGCGCAACCCUCACUUUUAGUUGCCAUCAUUUAGUUGGGCACUCUGAAAGAACUGCCAGUGAUAAGCUGGAGGAAGGUGGGGAUGACGUCAAGUCCUCAUGGCCCUUACGUGUUGGGCUACACACGUGCUACAAUGGUAUCUACAACAGGAAGCAAGACGGCGACGUCAAGCAAAUCCUUAAAAGAUACCUCAGUUCGGAUUGCACUCUGCAACUCGAGUGCAUG
RNAcentral lists this ribosomal RNA (408 nucleotides) under uncultured bacterium. Its description in RNAcentral is "bacterial SSU rRNA". It matches the Rfam family "Bacterial small subunit ribosomal RNA", at positions 917 to 1322 of the family's 1533-position model. The record is from RNAcentral.